Long non-coding RNA from Halichondria panicea, 1255 nucleotides. RefSeq lists it as uncharacterized. The transcript has 2 exons. The record is from RefSeq and is a predicted model, not a curated record. NCBI's taxonomy places the organism in Eukaryota, Metazoa, Porifera, Demospongiae, Suberitida, Halichondriidae.
CGUAGGGAGGGGGAGGGCUUUGGGGGCUGGAGCCCCCCUUUCUCUGCAAAAACUACACUAAGAGCCCCACCUUCUCUGAUGAGUCUUCAGCCUGGGAAUUACUGGUAUAGAUUAGUGGCAGACAAACAGCAUGUCCAAGAGCUAGCUAUACUAUACUAGUAACUUUGAUUCUUUAGUGCAACAGAACUAAGCUAGCUAGCUACGGCUAGCUAGCUAGCUUUAGCAGUAUUAUUAAUUGAAGCAAGGUGUGGCUAUUUCUUGCACAUGCGCAAUGAGUCAUUAAUUAGGGGGUGUGGCUCCUGGUCACCGGAAUUUUCGUAGCCUCGAUCCCAGGCCGAGUUUUCGCUUUUAUAACGGUUAGGCGAACAACUGGGCCUGGUACUAGUUGUCUGCGCAUGCGUCAAUCGUUUGUCAGAUUCUGACAAAUGGAUAUUCUUGUUCACUUUUGUGACAUUUAUAUUCGUGUACUAUCGUGUACUAGAAGUCAGUUCCCGUUUUAUCAUUAUUGGAAUCGAUUGGAAUGGCUCUUAGCUGAAGCUUCUCUCUUCUCUGAAGCUUAUUCUGAAGACUGAACAACAAGGGAAGAGGUAUAAAGCUUUGUCAAGCUUGUUAAGGUCAGAUAUUUUUGUGUGGGCCCUAUGGCCGGCUAUGCUAUCAAGUCUUGUUCAUGUUUGGCAAGAAUGUAGGUAGACUAUAGUUUCAUCAUUAAUAUGGUGGAUCAAGUGAAGAGUGUGAGCUAGAGAACUUGGUGCUGCCAUCAUCAGCUCGUCGACAAUGACACUAUAACCGAGAAAUUUAAUAUGUAUAGAUCUACACGUAUUUAAAAUGUCUACUUCUCUGUACAGGAGCAAUGGCUAAUAUCCAGCUAUCCCAACAGUGCUCCUCUUGGCUAUACUAACGGACGAGACUGGACAGUUUGAGACACAGGACUGGAGUAUGACCUGCUCAUUCGAGCGUUGCUGGGUAGCUCAGAGACAUCAAGAGAAUCUACGUUUUCUCAAGCAAUGAGUUACGAGUUGGGGCCUAGAAUCAGAGAAGUCCAGCAGCCUGCUAAAUCUUUUUGAAACGUAAUUUGAAGGCAUUCAAUCAUCCUGAAGUUGCCCUGGGUCACUGUAAUUGUGCUGCAGCACAACUGGCAACUCCCCAGGCCUUUGUGAAGCAGCUCCCUAUGUGCAUCUUUUGUGUACUCACUCUGUGCAUUUUCUGUGUACAAAUUUCCAUUAUUGAUUUAUUAAAUAUUUUUGCCGACCACAAA